GUUGUUUUCUCUGACCUUGGUACCUUAUAACAAGAUACAAAUGUUCUUUCUUUUGGCAGUCCUCAUCUUUUGUUCUGCACCCCAUGUGUCUGCUUUCCUAUAAAUGCAUGGAGAACAAAGACUCCCUGCUGUUGAGUUUUAAAUUCCUCUCAGACCCAGAAAUGUGUCAUUCUCAAUGCAGAUACUGACUAAGUAUCUGACUAGUAAAUAAAUAUGCAAGCACAUUUUGCCUCAAGGACCAAAGAAUGGCCAGCUAGCUCAAUGAACACAAGGGUUCAAUUUAGUCUUCUGAUUGUUGUCUUUGAUCCUUCAUGUAUCUUAAUAUAGUAAUGAAUGAUUUAUAAACAGUUUCUGCAUGAGGUUUCUUUCUUAUUUUACAAGACCCAAUUUAAGUUUGAGUAGAUGACAUGGGUUCACUGUUUCUCUACAAUGUAGAAAAUUACAACAUGUAUCAAAGUAUCAUACCCACUAUUUCCCUAGGUAACCUAGGCUGUCCUGGAACUUGAAGUCCUUGGGCUCUGAAGUGGUAAUGGUAUACGUGUGUACCAUCCUACUCAGCCAUCUGAGUCUUAAAGUACAAAAAAGUCUUAAGUAUAAAAAGGUAUUUUUUGGUAAACUAUUUCAUUAUAUUUGCUAUUACAGGAUAUUUAAGAGAUGCAAUUUGCCACCAUCUCAAAAGUCAGCAGUAACAGGACCCCCGUUGAAGGAAUCAGAGAAAGAACUGGAAGACCUUGAAGGGGCUUGAGACCCCAUAUGAACAACAAUGCCAAGCAACCAGAGCUUCCAGGGACUAAGCCACUACCUAAAGACUAUACACGGACUGACCCUGGACUCUGACCUUAUAGAUUCUUCUGAACUUGGAUAUGUGCUGUGGGAAGAAAAGUGAGAGGGCUAGGCCCAGGUCUUUUCAAAUCUUCAAUAUGGAUGGCUCUUCCUGAAUCAGGCAUCUCUGACCCAAAUCAGAUCCACUGGCUUUGCUGUCACCUGCCAAUAGCUGAAGAUGUGCGGUUUCUCCAACUGACGAGUCUUGUGGAAGUUCCUACUGCCUUCAAGAUGCUGAAAUGAGAUAUGGCCAGUGACAGAGGAAUCAAGCAGCCAUUGAGAAUAGCAAUGACAAUUCUCUAUCAUCUCCCCUUCUCACCAGACCAUUGAACAAAAUUGAUUCCAAGUAGAUGAAGCUGUGUUUUCUUGUCACUGGGAACAGCCAAUUAGAGAGAAGAAAGGCACCAGAGCUGCUGGUGCAGGAGCAUUUAGGUGGAGUUUCUGAUACAGCUGCGUGUCCUCUGCUUCUCAGAGGUCAACACUCUUUGACCCACUGUCUUUUCUGGCUACUGGAGUUAUGAAAACGCUCAUGUUCUCAGACAGGUUUGUGUUUAAAAAGAGAUCCCAGGACCAUAGAUUGUAACUAUUUCUAAAUUGUAACUGCUUUUAAUUGACGUGUACCAAUGGCACAUAUUUGCAGGACUAAUUCUGCUGCUAUCACAAGCAGGCUCUCAUUGCAGGAUAAUGAAAUCUGGGCAUUAAGCAUCUCCAUUGGCAUCUGGGCAUUUAGCAGUAUCUUAUUGCUUGGUGCACGGAUUGCUUUAUUGCUUCUUUGCAAUGAAGACAGAAAUGAGGAUGUAGAAUGUUUUUGAAAUAUCCAAUACAAUAUUAGUAGCCCAAGUCACACAGCUGUUUAUGCUAUAUGUGCCACCUAGCACAGCAAGACCGUCUUCUGUUAAAUCAGAGACAGGCCUGAAGAACUCGCACCUCCCUUUCAACUCGUGGAUGAGCAAAUCACAGGUCAAAGUUCUCCUAUCAGCUGUUAAGUCGUAGGUGACUUCGAAGUGCUCUGGCUGUUUUUGUCUCAUGUUUUUCUGACCCCUUCUGACAGGUAACAGUCACAUUGGUUUUGGUGACUCACUCUACCUCUCAGGUACUAACAUGGAAACCACUGUAAAUGUCAGUACACUGACUCUUCUUAUUACUACUGGAAGUGCACUUUGGUAGAAGAUGUAACCCAGAUCCUGGAGACAGAUAUUCCUGGGCAGCAUUUGUAAAACUCCACAACUCCCCACCACCCAUCUAUCAUCACUCCCUGCUUAGCCGGCUAGGUGAAGUUUGGUUCAGGCAGGAGAAAUUUAAAGAAUCCCAGAAACAAAUUAAAGUCUUAGUCUAUGAUGGCUUCCUGACACAAAGGCUACAUGGUGUCUGCCUUGUUCUUCUGGGUCAGUCUCCUUUUAUUGGCACCACGUAUGGCAAGUAUAUGCCUGCUUUAUUUCUGUGACUCAGUUUCUAUUGUGCCCCCAAGUCUUAUGUUAUCAUCCACUUGUCAUCAAAAAUUACUGUUUCCCUCAUCCCCUAUCAAACGCACUUGGUAUUACACGUGUAUCUUUCUGGCUAGUGUCUGGAACUUUGCCACAUCUCUAGAGUGCAUAAACCUAGGCUGUGUUUUCCAUUUACCAAACUGCACAUCUGUCAGGAGACCUGAGAGCUCUGUCAGGACAAAUAGCCUAGACACUUGAAAUGUCUUCAUGCCUGAUGCUCUGGAUACUUCAACCCUUUGACGGGUGUGUCUGUUUUUUAGGAACCAGCACUAUCCAACAGAGGAGACUAUUUUUGGGUCCCAAACAUGUGCUUCUUAGUGUUGUGGACCGUGACCUGAGCUAGGACACAGAGGAGGGAUAAGACUCCUAAGAAGCUAGCUUUCUGUCAUUGUGUCAGACUUCUAUGUGCAUUUUCUGUAUGGUCUGGAUCUGACAUCUGUCAAUCAUGUACAAAUGUGGAAAGAUUUGAGGGGAGACAUAUCCACAUGAGAAGAAAAAUAUGAUAAUAUUUCACAGAUAUAAUAUUCACAGAGGCAAGCUAAUGGGCAGCGCCUUCUGCCCUUUGGGUAGUUCUGUUAGGAGUACUUGCUGGCACCGUUGUUCUAUCUCUAAUACCUUACUUUGUCCCAAGAAAUGUCUGAAGGUGGGAAUCGAAAAACAAUUUUAAGAAGGGGGAAUCUGUGUGGUGAAGAAAAUAAGCUCAGGUAACGCUGGACCCAAAAACGUUUAUUUGCUGCACAGGCCCACUUAUCAUGACCUAUGUAUGCUGCUGCCUCUUAGGUGAUCAGGGUCAUGGAUAAGAGGCCAGGUAUGUCAAACUGGUAGUGACAUCCACAGACAAUAGGAGCUGCAACUGACUUGGAAGCUCUUCGAGUUAGUGCCUGUCAGGUAAGAUAUUGAAGAUAACCUUGAUCACCGAACCUCCAUAAUCCUAGAGUUCCUUCCCUUAUCCUCAGUGGUCACAAUUUAGGGGAUGAUAAUCAGAAGCUCUGUGUGAAUCCCAGGGAUCUCUCCUUUCCUGGAGACUUCUCUGGCUUAGAUCAGAUUGUGAAUAAGUCAAAAAGUCCAUCUCUGUGUGCUUUCUGUGGUGGUCUGGUGUGGCAGGUGCCAUCACCCAGUGCCUUCCAGGAUCCCUUCAGGUUGAAGACUGCCAGCUAGAGUUCAUCAGCCUUUUUUAGGCUUCACAUCAUCAGAGCCCUCAGGCUGUGGAGGUGAUGUUAACAGAAAGUUUACAGAGGGUACUAUUUUACACCAUUGGGCCUAGAGUAAGGUAGGUGACUUUCAUUAUCUUUUCUGCUCUCCUUUAUGACCUCUCCAGUGUCCCCUUCAGUCAUAUAGUAGCUUGCUUGCAAGCAUCCUUUCUCCUAAACUCUUGUAACUCAUUUGCCCCAUCCCCACUUUGUGAAGACAGGAUCCUCCUAGCUAUUUUCUGAGACACAACCUCUCUCAGACUUUUUCCUCACCUAGUCUACCAUUGUUCAGGGAUUCGCACCCACUACACUUUCCUACCCAAUGAGCUUCUAUAUAGUUAGAGUAGCCAUUUGGAAUAGAAACUUUGGAGCUUCACAGUGGAUUUUAUACUUUCACUAUCAAUGCUAUUUUAUGUACUCAUGGACUAUCACAAAUGAAAAAUCCAUGACAGAAUUAGAACAAGAAAACCAAUUAGCUCUAUAGCCUGAUUUUAUAACCCAUGUUCAUUAUCUACAUUGCUACAUUGAACUUUUCCCCAUCUCCUUUAUUCAGUCUUUCUUGUUUUCUCUUCUACACGUUACACUAUACCACAUGCUAAUUAGUUUUCUCUUGACUUGUCCAUCUAGCUGCCAGGAUCAAUUCCUUACUGCACAUGUCCAACCUGACCAUUACAUAUUGGUACCUUGAUUUCAAACACCUAGGAAAGGGUUUUUUUUCCUAUCCACUGAGUUCUAAGACAACCAGCAUUCUGCUGAAAACCCAAGCCAACUUCUCAUUCUCCAGAAGCAUCGAAGCACUUUAAAAGGAAUGUCUAAAUCAUCUGGUCUAUUAAGGCAUCAAAUUCCUCCACAAAUUGUACCAGACAUUUUUUCAUUGUGGAGAAACAGGGAUUUUGCAAAGAUGUCAAACCACAUAAGGCAGCAGGCACAACACAGCAUCAAAGACAUAAUUUGUGCUUGUCGUUCUGGGAGGCAGAAGUUACUAGGAACAUACUCAGAGAAUGAAGCAAAAUACAAACACCGAGAGCAGCUCUGCCAUGAUGGACAGGUAAGAGUUACUGUAGUAACUGCUGCACGUGCACAUCUACUUUUUCUAUCUCAUGCACAAAACAAGGCAGAUAAAAUCAGGAGAGCUCUGGUCAAAGGCUUACACUAAAACAUACAAUGUGCUUAAACUGGACAUUACAGUGCCUAAAUACUGAAAUCAUUGUGUAAUGGAAAUUAAAGUAACAAAGCAGGUGAAGACGAUAAGGAGAACGCAGAGUAUUUCUGUGAUCAACAUGGAAGUGAUGUGUGCUGAUUUGUCUUUUCUUCCUAGAAGAGAUUCCUUAUGCAAUGGCUCAACUGCAAGGCACAGUGCAGUUUAACAUACAAGGGCUCUCAAUAAGAGUUCAUGCUAAUACUUACGAUAGAAUAAAACUCCAGUAUAAUUUUAGCAAUCUUAACCAAGGGAUGAGGAAUUAUGAUAAUUCUUUUUCUGAAGGACUGAUAACAGGGCAAGGUGGUGGAUAUCUGCAAUCUGAGCUUUAAUAUUGUAGAAACAGUAGGGACAUGAAUUUAUGUUCAGCCCAAGCUAUACAGCAUGUUUCAGAGUACAGGGAAAGACCAAGUCUCACAAAACUAUUAUAGCAGUUAUAUGUGAUAACUGGCCAUGCAUCUGUCUAUGUUUGUAUCCAUCCAUUCAUCUAUCCACCCAGUUCUAUCAAUUUUGUCCUUAUCGUAAUUCUAUAAUAUUAACUGAUACCAAGAGAAACAGCACAUCAUUAUCUUGAAACAAUAUGAGGAUACUUUAAAACAGAGUUUAGACCAGAUAAUAAACAAUAUUUACUUUAGAUUAUUUAUAAAAUAAUCUCUGCACAAAUAUAUGCAUACUCUUUUAGAAGCUGCUUCUGGAUCUAUCCUCUGCCCUUCUUUUUUUCCAAGGCUGGUUGAGAGGAUUCAGGGUCCCCACCAAUGGGAAACCAGCAUCGUGUUCUAGCUGUGAGGAGAGCAGCCAAAUGUGUCCUGACGUUCAGGUGGAUUUGUGCAACAGGAUACUUGCCAGUCAUGAGCAGCAAACACGGUUCCAUUAAUCCACUUUAAGGCAAUGACUGAGACCGUGAUUCAACCUAAGUCUGCCUCACUUGCCCAAUAAUUCACUUUGUUGAUCAUUAUCCUGAAUGCCAUUUUAAUUCUGCUGAGCUCACAGAAUUACAAAGGCAGUUAAUGCCUAUGAUUUAAUUUUUUCUUUUUCCAUUUUAAUGUGUGCGUGUACAUGUUAUACAUAUGCAUAUAAGAGUUCAAAAUUGAUGCCAGGAAUCAAUCUCAACCAUUCUUCCACCUUUCUCCCUGGAGACAGUUCCCAGUCAAACUCCUACUGUUGCUAGGAUGCUUGUUGUGGGAUCCUUUCUAUCUUUCAAACCUGCUGUCCAGAGGCACAUUUCCCCACCCAAUACUUACUGCAAUCUUUCUAACCUAUCUUUCAUGGUGAUGAUCCCCGAUCUUUAGAGGGGGCAACAUACAUAUCUUAUUUAGAGCCCAACACACCUUACUAUCCCUUAGUUUUGACAUAUUAUGUGUUUGUUCAUUAACCACUGUCUGCUUCAAGAAUAAGCUUCCCUGAUCAUGGCUGAACACAGCACUAAUCUAUGAAUACCAACAUGAACAUUUAGAAGGUAACUGGACAUCAUGACCAUUUAGCAAAAUAUUAGCAUUUUCUAGGAUAGGGCCUAUUACUAAGCUCGAGGACAAGGGAUGAAUUCCUUCCUGUGGAGUGGUCUCAAAUCAGAACAGCAAGAAAUUGGUUACUCUCAUAAGAGUCAUGCGACUGCAGCACACUAAUGUUUAUUGUCCCUAGCUGGCCAUCACUCACAGGAUUCAUAGUUGGGUAAAACUUUUCUCUUCCCAGCAGGGUGCAUCGCCUAUCACAGCAUCAAAAAGUCUAGCUAGAAUAGAAGAGGCAUCCAGCUUAGCCCCAGCUGGAUUUAUUUUUUGUCUUGUGACCAAAGUAUAUAGUGUCUACAGAUAGGGUCUUACCAUCAAGUUCUUGUGGGCCUCUAAGAGCCUAUCUCGUUUGGGAGGCCUCUGCCAACCACCCAUGCUCCAACCAACAACUCAUAAGGAAAUGUCCCCCCCUCCAGCACUGAGAGUUUUUAUUGACUAACCUAUGACUUUUGAGAAGAGCAUUAUCCUUCUUUUGGGUAACAGAUAUUCAAACUCUAGUUUUUAGAUUAUAUUUUUGAUAAACCUAUAUAUGCAUAAAUUGGGUUACCAUGCCUCUCCCCUUGUCUUUUUCCUAUCCUAGACUCAACUCCCUGCCUACAUAUUUAUUUUUAAAGCUGUUUCCUGCUCCUCUUCUUUCAGGCCUGAUGCUUUCUGCUCCACCACAUAGCUUGGUCUAAGGGGCUCUUUCCAUCCUCUGGACUCUUACCAGCAUUAAAUAGUACUCACACUCUUCUGAAGAGUUAGACAUAGGAUCUACUUAUGAGGGAGUGCAUGUGGUACUUGCAUUGCUGAGCCUGGGUGAUCUCCCAGAUCCAUCCAUUUUCAUGCAAAAUUUCUUCUUUACUGCUAAAUAAAACUCCAUUGUGUAUAUGUAUUGCAUUUUCUUUAUCUAUUCAUCAGUUGAAGAACAUCAAGGCUGAUACCAUUUUCCCACUGUUGUGAAUAGAACUGCAAUGAAUGCAGAAGUGGCAAUAUGUCUUUUGUAUGGUAUGGA
Molecule: non-coding RNA, 7193 nt
Organism: Rattus norvegicus (Norway rat)
Lineage: Eukaryota; Metazoa; Chordata; Mammalia; Rodentia; Muridae
Source: RefSeq, a predicted model, not a curated record